AGUGAACGCUGGCGGUAGGCCUAACACAUGCAAGUCGAACGGCAGCACAGUAAGAGCUUGCUCUUACGGGUGGCGAGUGGCGGACGGGUGAGGAAUACAUCGGAAUCUACUUUUUCGUGGGGGAUAACGUAGGGAAACUUACGCUAAUACCGCAUACGACCUACGGGUGAAAGCAGGGGAUCUUCGGACCUUGCGCGAUUGAAUGAGCCGAUGUCGGAUUAGCUAGUUGGCGGGGUAAAGGCCCACCAAGGCGACGAUCCGUAGCUGGUCUGAGAGGAUGAUCGGCCACACUGGAACUGAGACACGGACCAGACUCCUGCGGGAGGCAGCAGUGGGGAAUAUUGGGCAAUGGGCGCAAGCCUGAUCCAGCCAUACCGCGUGGGUGAAGAAGGCCUUCGGGUUGUAAAGCCCUUUUGUUGGGAAAGAAGAGCAGCAGGUUAAUACCCCGCUGUUCUGACGGUACCCAAAGAAUAAGCACCGGCUAACUUCGUG
RNAcentral lists this ribosomal RNA (492 nucleotides) under uncultured bacterium. Its description in RNAcentral is "partial 16S ribosomal RNA". It matches the Rfam family "Bacterial small subunit ribosomal RNA", at positions 29 to 507 of the family's 1533-position model. The record is from RNAcentral.